This 316-nucleotide ribosomal RNA is filed under the name uncultured Tomentella. RNAcentral's name for it is "eukaryotic LSU rRNA". The record is from RNAcentral. Lineage: Eukaryota; Fungi; Basidiomycota; Agaricomycetes; Thelephorales; Thelephoraceae.
AACGCACCUUGCGCCCUUUGGCUAUUCCGAAGGGCAUGCCUGUUUGAGUAUCAUGAACACCUCAACCCUCAUGGUUUACCAUGAUGGGCUUGGACUUUGGGGGUUUUGCUGGAUUAUAGUCAGCUCCCCUUAAAUUAAUUAGCUUGCCGGUGUUUGGUGGCAUCACAGGUGUGAUAACUAUCUACGCUUGUGGUUUUACAUCAGGUAACCUUCAGAGAUGGGGGUUCACUGGGGCUCACAAAAGGUGUCUCUCCUCUGUGAGGAUGGCUCUUUGAAUGUUUGAUCUCAAAUCAGGUAGGACUACCCGCUGAACUUA